This 301-nucleotide ribosomal RNA is filed under the name uncultured bacterium. Its description in RNAcentral is "partial 16S ribosomal RNA". It matches the Rfam family "Bacterial small subunit ribosomal RNA", at positions 509 to 809 of the family's 1533-position model. The record is from RNAcentral.
CAGUCGCCACGGUAAUACAGAGGGUGCGAGCGUUAAUCGGAUUUACUGGGCGUAAAGCGUGCGUAGGCGGCUUUUUAAGUCGGAUGUGAAAUCCCUGAGCUUAACUUAGGAAUUGCAUUCGAUACUGGGAAGCUAGAGUAUGGGAGAGGAUGGUAGAAUUCCAGGUGUAGCGGUGAAAUGCGUAGAGAUCUGGAGGAAUACCGAUGGCGAAGGCAGCCAUCUGGCCUAAUACUGACGCUGAGGUACGAAAGCAUGGGGAGCAAACAGGAUUAGAUACCCCAGUAGUCCCUGUCUCUUAUCA